This 67-nucleotide transfer RNA is filed under the name Somena scintillans. RNAcentral's name for it is "tRNA-Glu". Lineage: Eukaryota; Metazoa; Arthropoda; Insecta; Lepidoptera; Erebidae. The record is from RNAcentral. RNAcentral also lists the same sequence under 1 other name.
AUUUAUAUAGUUUAUUAAAACAUUACAUUUUCAUUGUAAAAAUAAAAUAAAUAUAUUUUUAUAAAUU